CAAGGUUACGCGCUGGGUAGCGCAGCGCAUCUGUUUCGGGGUCAGGGUCGGGCCGGCCAUAGGUUCGAAUCCUGCCACCUUUC
Molecule: transfer RNA, 83 nt
Filed under: Brassica napus (rape)
Lineage: Eukaryota; Viridiplantae; Streptophyta; Magnoliopsida; Brassicales; Brassicaceae
Source: RNAcentral